This 293-nucleotide ribosomal RNA is filed under the name uncultured prokaryote. Its description in RNAcentral is "partial 16S ribosomal RNA". It matches the Rfam family "Archaeal small subunit ribosomal RNA", at positions 455 to 747 of the family's 1478-position model. The record is from RNAcentral.
GUGUCAGCCGCCGCGGUAAUACCGGCAGCUCAAGUGAUGACCGAUUUUAUUGGGCCUAAAGCGUCCGUAGCUGGCCGCACAAGUCUGUCGGGAAAUCCACCCGCUUAACGGGUGGGCGUCCGGCGGAAACUGUGCGGCUUGGGACAGGAAGGCUCGAGGGGUACGUUCGGGGUAGGAGUGAAAUCCCGUAAUCCUGAACGGACCACCGAUGGCGAAAGCACCUCGAGAGGACUGAUCCGACAGUGAGGGACGAAAGCUGGGGUCUCGAACCGGAUUAGAUACCCCUGUAGUCC